This 497-nucleotide ribosomal RNA is filed under the name uncultured bacterium. Its description in RNAcentral is "partial 16S ribosomal RNA". It matches the Rfam family "Bacterial small subunit ribosomal RNA", at positions 28 to 507 of the family's 1533-position model. The record is from RNAcentral.
GAUGAACGCUGGCGGCGUGCCUAAUACAUGCCAGUCGAGCGAACAGACGAGGAGCUUGCUCCUCUGACGUUAGCGGCGGACGGGUGAGUAACACGUGGAUAACCUACCUAUAAGACUGGGAUAACUUCGGGAAACCGGAGCUAAUACCGGAUAAUAUAUUGAACCGCAUGGUUCAAUAGUGAAAGACGGUUUUGCUGUCACUUAUAGAUGGAUCCGCGCCGCAUUAGUUAGUUGGUAAGGUAACGGCUUACCAAGGCAACGAUGCGUAGCCGACCUGAGAGGGUGAUCGGCCACACUGGAACUGAGACACGGUCCAGACUCCUACGGGAGGCAGCAGUAGGGAAUCUUCCGCAAUGGGCGAAAGCCUGACGGAGCAACGCCGCGUGAGUGAUGAAGGUCUUCGGAUCGUAAAACUCUGUUAUUAGGGAAGAACAAAUGUGUAAGUAACUAUGCACGUCUUGACGGUACCUAAUCAGAAAGCCACGGCUAACUACGUG